CGCUGAGGUAGUUCACAAAGAACAAUAGCCUGUCUAGCUGGAGGUGCCUGUGGUUGGGUUCUCGGCGG
Molecule: transfer RNA, 68 nt
Filed under: Anadara antiquata
Lineage: Eukaryota; Metazoa; Mollusca; Bivalvia; Arcoida; Arcidae
Description: tRNA-Asp
Source: RNAcentral